AACGAACGCUGGCGGUGUGCUUAACACAUGCAAGUCGAACGAGAAAGUUUCCUUCGGGAAGCGAGUAAAGUGGCGCAAGGGUGAGUAACACGUGAAUAAUCUACCCCCGAGACUGGGAUAACCUGGUGAAAACUAGGCUAAUACCGGAUAAGACCACGUCCCGCAAGGGAUGCGGGAAAAGGAGGCUCAACCUCCACUUGGAGAUGAGUUCGCGGACCAUUAGCUUGUUGGUGAGAUAACAGCUCACCAAGGCUACGAUGGUUAGCCGGCCUGAGAGGGUGAACGGCCACACUGGAACUGAGACACGGCCCAGACUCCUACGGGAGGCUGCAGCAGGGAAUAUUGUGCAAUGAGCGAAAGCUUGACACAGCGACACCGCGUGUGGGAUG
RNAcentral lists this ribosomal RNA (389 nucleotides) under uncultured Nitrospina sp. RNAcentral's name for it is "bacterial SSU rRNA". It matches the Rfam family "Bacterial small subunit ribosomal RNA", at positions 29 to 410 of the family's 1533-position model. The record is from RNAcentral. Lineage: Bacteria; Pseudomonadati; Nitrospinota; Nitrospinia; Nitrospinales; Nitrospinaceae.